RNAcentral lists this long non-coding RNA (212 nucleotides) under Capsicum annuum. Its description in RNAcentral is "long non-coding RNA (CANN_LNC017251)". The record is from RNAcentral. Lineage: Eukaryota; Viridiplantae; Streptophyta; Magnoliopsida; Solanales; Solanaceae.
GGGGUUUUAAUUUAAGUAUGGGGUUUCUAUGUACUGUUUAAGUGUUUAACAGAACCGAUUAAUCUCCGGUGAGGACGUUGGUCAGCCUGAAAGUAUAGGUCGUUAAGCUUAGGGAAAGCGCGUCAGACCUUGUUUGGUGGUCCCGUCACUGAGUAAAACACUUAGCUGUUCUUAGAGUAAUGCCAUUAAGACUUAUUAAGAUCCCAUAAGCC